Molecule: transfer RNA, 71 nt
Filed under: Marmota monax (woodchuck)
Lineage: Eukaryota; Metazoa; Chordata; Mammalia; Rodentia; Sciuridae
Rfam family: tRNA
About the family: Transfer RNA (tRNA) molecules are approximately 80 nucleotides in length. Their secondary structure includes four short double-helical elements and three loops (D, anti-codon, and T loops). Further hydrogen bonds mediate the characteristic L-shaped molecular structure. tRNAs have two regions of fundamental functional importance: the anti-codon, which is responsible for specific mRNA codon recognition, and the 3' end, to which the tRNAs corresponding amino acid is attached (by aminoacyl-tRNA synthetases). tRNAs cope with the degeneracy of the genetic code in two manners: having more than one tRNA (with a specific anti-codon) for a particular amino acid; and 'wobble' base-pairing, i.e. permitting non-standard base-pairing at the 3rd anti-codon position.
Source: Rfam by way of RNAcentral
GUGGGUGUAGAUCAGUGGUAGAACACUUGCUUAUCAUGCUUAAGGUCCUGGGUUCCAACCCCAGCACCACA